RNAcentral lists this unclassified non-coding RNA (243 nucleotides) under Glomeromycetes sp. RNAcentral describes it as "partial contains 5.8S ribosomal RNA and internal transcribed spacer 2". The stretch from base 1 to 71 matches the Rfam family "5.8S ribosomal RNA", at positions 84 to 154 of the family's 154-position model. The record is from RNAcentral. Lineage: Eukaryota; Fungi; Glomeromycota; Glomeromycetes.
GUGAAUCAUCAAAUUUUUGAACGCAAAUUGCGCUCCCUGGUAUUCCGGGGAGUAUGCCUGUUUGAGGGUCAGUAUUAUCAAAAAAUCGGUUUUUUCGCUUAUUUUUACGUUUCCUGAGAUUGGACUAUCUUAACCUUUUUAGUUAAGGUGCUUAACAUUGACGUUAUUUACGCAUUUUUACAUUUACAUAAAUUUUUUUUUAUUCGUCUAUUGUUAAUGCCAAAGCAUUAUUAGAUCGUAUCA